Molecule: ribosomal RNA, 446 nt
Filed under: uncultured bacterium
Lineage: Bacteria
Description: SSU rRNA
Rfam family: Bacterial small subunit ribosomal RNA
Source: RNAcentral
AGAACGAACGCUGGCGGCAGGCCUCAAACAUGCAAGUCUAGGGGGUGUAGCAAUACAUCACCGGCGGACGGGUGCGUAACGCGUGGGAAUGUACCUAUUGGUUCGGAACAACUGCGGGAAACUGCAGCUAAUACCGAAUGUGCCCGCAAGGGGAAAGAUUUAUCGCCAAUGGAUCAGCCCGCGUAGGAUUAGCUAGUUGGUGAGGUAAUGGCUCACCAAGGCUCCGAUCCUUAGCUGUUCUGAGAGGAAGAUCAGCCACACUGGGACUGAGACACGGCCCAGACUCCUACGGGAGGCAGCAGUUGGGAAUCUUGGACAAUGGGGGAAACCCUGAUCCAGCCAUGCCGCGUGAGUGAUGAAGGCCUUCGGGUUGUAAAACUCUUUCGACGGGACGAUAAUGACGGUACCGUAGAAGAAGCUCCGGCUAACUUCGCGCCAGCAGCCGC